ACCCCGUGAACCUUUACUAUAGCUUGACACUGAACAUUGAGCCUUGAUGUGUAGGAUAGGUGGGAGGCUUAGAAGUGUGGACGCCAGUCUGCAUGGAGCCGAACUUGAAAUACCACCCUUUAAUGUUUGAUGUUCUAACGUUGACCCGUGAUCCGGGUUGCGGACAGUGUCUGGUGGGUAGUUUGACUGGGGCGGUCUCCUCCUAAAGAGUAACGGAGGAGCACGAAGGUUGGCUAAUCCUGGUCGGACAUCAGGAGGUUAGUGCAAUGGCAUAAGCCAGCUUGACUGCGAGCGUGACGGCGCGAGCAGGUGCGAAAGCAGGUCAUAGUGAUCCGGUGGUUCUGAAUGGAAGGGCCAUCGCUCAACGGAUAAAAGGUACUCCGGGGAUAACAGGCUGAUACCGCCCAAGAGUUCAUAUCGACGGCGGUGUUUGGCACCUCGAUGUCGGCUCAUCACAUCCUGGGGCUGAAGUAGGUCCCAAGGGUAUGGCUGUUCGCCAUUUAAAGUGGUACGCGAGCUGGGUUUAGAACGUCGUGAGACAGUUCGGUCCCUA
RNAcentral lists this ribosomal RNA (553 nucleotides) under Escherichia coli. RNAcentral's name for it is "partial 23S ribosomal RNA". It matches the Rfam family "Bacterial large subunit ribosomal RNA", at positions 2088 to 2640 of the family's 2925-position model. The record is from RNAcentral. Lineage: Bacteria; Pseudomonadati; Pseudomonadota; Gammaproteobacteria; Enterobacterales; Enterobacteriaceae.